This 616-nucleotide long non-coding RNA is filed under the name Hordeum vulgare. Its description in RNAcentral is "long non-coding RNA (HVUL_LNC000700)". The record is from RNAcentral. Lineage: Eukaryota; Viridiplantae; Streptophyta; Magnoliopsida; Poales; Poaceae.
ACGCCUCGGUGGCAGCCCUACCUCUCCCAUAACUCUGUUUUCUUCUUAGAUCGGUUUCGGCAGCGCUUGGCGAAGCCCUACCGGCACUACUCCACCAUGUCGUCGUGUUGGUUGAGAUCCCAUCUACUUCUCCUUCCUCUCUUGCUGGAUCAAGAAGGAGGAGACGUUAUCGAGCCGUACGUGUGCGGAGCGCGGAGGUGUCGUCCGUUCAGCGCUAGAUCGGGAAGGAUCGUGAUGAGAUCGUGGGACGGAUCGUGAUGAGAUCACGGAAUGGGCUGCGAUUUGGAUCGCGGAGAUGUUCCACUACAUCAACUAUGUUAUAUACGCUUUUGCUUAGCAAUCUACAAGGGUAUGUAGAUGCACUCUCCCCUCUCGUAGAUGGUCAUCACCAUGGAUAGAUCUUGUGUGCGCGUAGGAACAUUUUUGUUUCCCAUGCGACACUCUCCAACAGUGGCAUUAUGAGUUAGGUCUAUGCGUAGAUGACAUCUCAAGUAGAACACAAAGUAGUUUGUGGGCGUUGAUGUUCAAUUUGCUGCCCUCCUUAGUCUUUUCUUGAUUCGACGGUAUUGUUGAAUUGAAGCGGCCCGAACCAACAUUACUCGUACGCUUACGGGAG